CCUACGGGUGACUGCAGUGGGGAAUAUUGCACAAUGGGGGGAACCCUGAUGCAGCGACGCCGCGUGAGUGAAGAAGUCAUUCGUGAUGUAAAGCUCUAUCAGCAGGGAAGAAAAUGACGGUACCUGACUAAGAAGCCCCGGCUAACUACGUGCCAGCAGCCGCGGUACUACGUAGGGGGCAGGCGUUAUCCGGAUUCACUGGGCGUAAGGGGAGCGCAGGCGGCAUGGCAAGUCUGAUGUGAAAACCCGGGGCCCAACCCCUGGAGUGCAUUGGAAACUGCCAGGCUGGAGUGUCGGAGGGGUAAGCGGAAUUCCUAGUGUAGCGGUGAAAUGCGUAGAUAUUAGGAGGAACACCAGUUGCGAAGGCGGCUUACUGGACGACUACUGACGCUGAGGCUCGAAAGCGUGGGGAGCAAACAGGAUUAGAUACCCGGGUAGUC
RNAcentral lists this ribosomal RNA (440 nucleotides) under uncultured bacterium. RNAcentral describes it as "partial 16S ribosomal RNA". It matches the Rfam family "Bacterial small subunit ribosomal RNA", at positions 338 to 795 of the family's 1533-position model. The record is from RNAcentral.